Molecule: ribosomal RNA, 180 nt
Filed under: uncultured Glomeromycotina
Lineage: Eukaryota; Fungi; Glomeromycota
Description: partial small subunit ribosomal RNA
Source: RNAcentral
GGCCUGGCUGUCCGGUCCCCCUCACCGGGUGCACUGGUUCGGCCGGGCCUUUCCUUCUGGCAAGCCGCAUGCCCUUUACUGGGUGUGUUGGGGAACCAGGACUGUUACUUUGAAAAAAUUAGAGUGUUUAAAACAGGCAUUUUGCUUGAAUACAUUAGCAUGGAAUAACGGAAUAGGACU